CCUGAACAUGCCUGACCUCGUCUGAACUUGGAAGCUAAGCAGG
Molecule: ribosomal RNA, 43 nt
Filed under: Ursus maritimus (polar bear)
Lineage: Eukaryota; Metazoa; Chordata; Mammalia; Carnivora; Ursidae
Source: RNAcentral